AUAGACCCCCUAUCUCAUUUUGGGGUCUUACAAUAAAGCCUAGAUGGAUUUUCCUCAAAUGUUUCUCAAUAUGUCAACCUUAAGGAUAACAAAUUCUCAGGAUUAAAAGUCAUAAUUGUCAUAUAAUUCUACAAAAUUUACUCCCUCUUUCCAUGCGUGGUAUGCUUUGCAAAUCUGUGUCUGAACUUCUUAUUGAGUUGUCUAUUUUUUUCAAAGUGGUUGGUGCAAAAUGUUUGAGCGUAGAGGAGUUGGAAUAAAUAGAAGCUCAAAUACCAAAAACAUUGUGCUAGUUAGAAAAAGUGUUCCCUCCUGCAUUUUUUGAUGUCAUGGUGCACUUGUCUAUUCAUCUACCUGAUGAAGCUAAGAUUGCUGGACCAAUUCAGUAUCGAUGGAUGUAUCCAAUAGAGAUAUACCUACACUUUUUGAAGUGUUUUAUUGGUAACAUGGCUCACCCUGAAGGUUCAAUUGUAGAGGGAUAUUUAGCAGUUGAAUGUAUUACUUUAUGUUCAAGGUAUUUGAAUACAAUAAAGACAAAGUUUAAUUGUCCGGAGAGAAAUUAUGAUGGUGGUGUAAUUGAAUCGGAUGGUGGUUUGACAAUAUUGUGAACCUGGAAAAAGUUUAAAGGGUAGCACACCAGACAAACUUGAUUCAAACGAUUUGGAGGACGCAAAUUACUAUAGUUUGAAGAAUUGUAAUGAAAUUCAACCAUUCCUCGAAGAAUUUUCACAAAUUCAUAGUGAGACCUCUCAACAAAGUUCAGAUGUGGAGUGGAAUAGAAAAUUCAUUAGUUGGUUAUAAAAAAAGGUUAGUAGAAAUUAACUGGUUUUCUUAAAUCAAGAAUGCAAUUAAAUAUUGUUUUCCAAAAAGCUAUUUGAUGUUGUUAGGUUGCAGGAUUAUACAAAUAUGAUGAUAGUAAGAGAAUGAAAGAUUUGUUAUCUUUAUCACGUGGCCCUAUGCCAUAUGUCACAAGAUGCAAAGGUCAUAUUGUAUGGAUAUAGGUUUCAUGUGAAAGAGUAUAAUCCAUAUCUAAAAACUCAAAAUUGUGGAGUGGUUGUAGUAGGUGAGACCGGUGAAGAACAAAACCUUAUGAAUUAUUAUGGCGAGUUAACUAAGGUUCUUGAAUUACAAUUUGUUGGGGGAAGAAGAGUGAUUUUAUUCCGAUGUAUGUGGUUUGAUGUAUAUGAUCAAAGAGGGGGGUUAUAAUGGAUGAAUAUGGAUUUGUAAGUGUUAACUGUCGACGAUAUUUGAAAAUAAAUGAGUCAUUUGUAUUAUCUAGCCAAGCAUCACAAGUAUUUUAUGCUAUCUAUCAUUCCUAUGAAGGUUGACACAUAGUGCAAAAGGUUCAACCUCGUGAUUCUUUUGAUAAUUUGGAAAAAAGGAUGAUGACUUAGAAGAUUUAGAUAAAUCUACACAAGUGAAAAGAAAAAGAACUCAUUAAGGUUUGGAGCUUUUUCAUGCUUUCCUUUACUUUAUUUAUUUUUGUAUGGUAAUGAUUAUUUAUAGUAUUUCUCUUAAAAUUUGUUAAUGCACUUGGUUUUUAACGUCACCUUGAUCUUACUAUAGUAGUAAUGGUUCAUGCUAGGAACUUAUGUUACAUGUACAUGUAUCUCUUUUCUGAAUGCGUUUUCAGUUCACAUUUAUUCUUAUGAAAAAAUCCCUAACCUAUUUGAACUUUUGUUUUGAAGACUUCGCUCUUAUUUUUUUGUUAUCUAGGUUCACAUGAAUCCCUCGAAAACUCUGAAGUAUGAAAUGGGAAAAUAUUCAAAAAUUUCCAAGCAUGAACUCAUUCAACCAGGUGCCUUAGCAAAAUGACUAGGUCAAAGUUCGAAAUCUAUGAGCACAUUCAGAGUUAAUGCU
Long non-coding RNA from Solanum pennellii, 1857 nucleotides. RefSeq lists it as uncharacterized. NCBI's taxonomy places the organism in Eukaryota, Viridiplantae, Streptophyta, Magnoliopsida, Solanales, Solanaceae. The transcript is spliced from 2 exons. The record is from RefSeq and is a predicted model, not a curated record.